GCUAAGUAGCAAUUGAGGAAGGUUAGCACUCCUCUUGAUAAGAAUGGAAGAGAUCCUACUGGCUUUUACAACAUAUAUAUGUUUAAGGCAUUGCCACCUACUCUGUGACAUCCAGUCCUGGCUAGUU
Small nuclear RNA from Sarcophilus harrisii (Tasmanian devil), 127 nucleotides. The record is from Ensembl. NCBI's taxonomy places the organism in Eukaryota, Metazoa, Chordata, Mammalia, Dasyuromorphia, Dasyuridae.